GGCGACCGGCGCACGGGUGAGUAACGCGUAUGCAACCUACCCUGUACAGGGGGAUAACCCGGAGAAAUUCGGACUAAUACCCCAUAAUGAUAUUUAAAGGCAUCUUUGAAUAUUUAAAGUUUUAAUGGUACGGGCUGGGCAUGCGUGACAUUAGCUAGUUGGUAAGGUAACGGCUUACCAAGGCUGCGAUGUCUAGGGGUCCUGAGAGGGUGAUCCCCCACACUGGUACUGAGACACGGACCAGACUCCUACGGGAGGCAGCAGUGAGGAAUAUUGGUCAAUGGGCGCAAGCCUGAACCAGCCAUCCCGCGUGAAGGAAGAAGGCGCUAUGCGUUGUAAACUUCUUUUCCAGGGGAAGAAAACCUCUGAUGUAUCGGAGCUUGCCGGUACCCUGGGAAUAAGCAUCGGCUAACUCCGUGCCAGCAGCCGCGGUAAUACGGAGGAUGCAAGCGUUAUCCGGAAUUAUUGGGUUUAAAGGGUGCGCAGGCGGAGUAAUAAGUCAGUGGUGAAAACCUGCAGCUUAACUGUAGAACUGCCAUUGAUACUGUUAUUCUUGAGUGUGGUCAAGGUAGGCGGAAUGUGUAAUGUAGCGGUGAAAUGCUUAGAUAUUACACAGAACACCGAUUGCGAAGGCAGCUUACUGGGCCAUUACUGACGCUGAUGCACGAAAGCGUGGGGAUCGAACAG
This 687-nucleotide ribosomal RNA is filed under the name uncultured bacterium. Its description in RNAcentral is "bacterial SSU rRNA". It matches the Rfam family "Bacterial small subunit ribosomal RNA", at positions 90 to 775 of the family's 1533-position model. The record is from RNAcentral.